GAUGAAUGCUGGCGGCGUGCCUAAUACAUGCAAGUCGAGCGAACAGACGAGGAGCUUGCUCCUCUGACGUUAGCGGCGGACGGGUGAGUAACACGUGGAUAACCUACCUAUAAGACUGGGAUAACUUCGGGAAACCGGAGCUAAUACCGGAUAAUAUAUUGAACCGCAUGGUUCAAUAGUGAAAGACGGUUUUGCUGUCACUUAUAGAUGGAUCCGCGCCGCAUUAGCUAGUUGGUAAGGUAACGGCUUACCAAGGCAACGAUGCGUAGCCGACCUGAGAGGGUGAUCGGCCACACUGGAACUGAGACACGGUCCGGACUCCUACGGGAGGCAGCAGUAGGGAAUCUUCAGAAAUGGGCGAAAGCCUGACGGAGCAACGCCGCGUGAGUGAUGAAGGUCUUCGGAUCGUAAAACUCUGUUAUUAGGGAAGAACAAAUGUGUAAGUAACUAUACAAGUCUUGACGGUACCUAAUCAGAAAGCCACGGCUAACUACGUG
RNAcentral lists this ribosomal RNA (497 nucleotides) under uncultured bacterium. RNAcentral describes it as "partial 16S ribosomal RNA". It matches the Rfam family "Bacterial small subunit ribosomal RNA", at positions 28 to 507 of the family's 1533-position model. The record is from RNAcentral.